GUGGCGAUAAUACCCUUUCUCCCGAUCCCUUCCUUCAAAAUCAACUCAUUCAACUCUGUUAAUCUAGGGUUUUUCAAGUAGGUAGACAACUAUCAAGAAACAUAAGAUCUAAAUGGAUUUUGACGAAUACGAGGUACUUGGAGAAGACAGUGGAGAUGUUUUAUCUACCAUACACAACCCUUUAAGAUAGAAGAUGAUAGCCAACGAUAUCUUAAGGGGGACCAAGAGUCGUCUGUCCAUUGUUCCUAUGUGUCGAUAGGGACGGGGAGAAUUUGGAUGAGGAACGAAGGGGAAGUAGAAGGAAGAGAGGAAUAUUAAGGAUAGAGAGAGGGAGAAAGAUAAGGAAAAGUCCAUACUUCAGAAAGCAGGAGCGGGAGAUGGAUCGGGAGCUUGAAAGCGAGUGUGAAGGGUCUCGGACAAGUGGGAGCAGACCCGGUAGGUACCAAGACAAUGAAACACGAUAGACGUAGUAGGGAUGGACGGUUAGAUCAUUUCUUUGAAUUCUUUUUUUUUUUUUUUUUUUUUUUACUUUUCUUAUAUAGUUAUACAAAUCCAUGUAUAAUAUAUUAUUCUACAUUUGUAGUUAGUACUCUCUGCUACUACAAGUCUUCAAGUGUCUAUUUAUAUUUUAUCAAACAAAAAAAAUAUUCUAUAUUUAUAGGGUUGGAUAUUUGAAUUCCUACAAAAUUUCAUUUUUCAUGCUAUAUAUUGAAUUAUUGGUGCCCUUUCUGCUGUAGUUAUUAUUGGUGCCCUUUCAUGCUAUUUAAUUAUGUUCUUUUCAAAAGACGUGUUAUUUUCUAGUUUUCUCUUUGCCAUGAGAAUUGAGAUAUGAAUAUGAUUUUCCCCUUUAAAUGAUUUAAGGCUUGAUUAGGUUGUUAUCUAGAUUUUCGUUUUUUCUGCUAUUUUUAAAAUUAUGUAGUAUUUUCACUUUCAAACUGCAAAUACUGAAAGACUGUGAUUUAUAAAAUCUCAAUGCUUGUGAACAUUGCAUAGAUUUUAAAUUUCUAUUCAGUGUUUAUCGUUAAAAAAUCCAAGUAUUAAACGAUAAAUGCUGGGAACUUGUAGAUCUUCUAGACAAAAUCUUCUGAUGGCUAUUCAUGUGAUGUGGGCCUGACAAAAGAAUUCAGGUCGUGGGUCUUAAACACUAUCUCACGGAAGCGGAACCAAAGGUCUUCUAUCAAGUCUCCCCUCAAAAUCGCAAUCUCCGAUUUGCCUGGUCAGAAUCGCUUAGUUUACAAUGGAUGUCCCUUGAAUAGCCAUCCAAAAGCUACUAGGCGAUUUUCCCUCAGAAUCGGCGUCCCCGCCUUAGAUCUCGCCCAUGGCGACCCUAUAGAUAGGGACCCCAAAUACGAGACCGAGGCAGAAGUUCUAUCCCUUCCAGAGCUUCAAACACCGAGCAAUCGUCGAUUCCAUACUUGAAUUGCCAAUCUCCCCUAAAGAUUUGACGUAGAGCAGCUUUCGUGGACCCCAGAGCUUCCGGCACGGCCAAGACAACCAUUCACAUCACUGCAAGUGCUGGUGGGAUUUUCCGAUCCUUAUCACUAAUACCUAGACCUAAAGAUCACUUGGCUAGUGGAAGAAGACUAGGAGUUUUAUGGAUGGGUACUUGUGUCACACUGUCACGUUCUGUUGAUGCAAUUAACUUUUUCAUUUGUGAAAAUGAAGGGUUUUCUACCCUAAAAGUUACAAUGGAAAAAAGCAAAAACAAUAUAAAUAUAUUUUAGAACAGGAAGCUCUAAUAGACUCUUUCCUCACAACCAUGUUGUCUGAAAAUGCAUCAGAUUAUCUGCCUCCAGAGGUUGGUCUCCCAUAUUUGCAUUGAGUUGGUGUCCAAGGGGCGAACAGUUUUUCCUGAGGCUUUCAGGCUUAAAGGAGAAGCUGAUGCCCUUGAUGACUUCUUUUAGUACUACUUCUGGUGACCUGAGAGUGUGUUGUUUCCAUCUUUGAUUCCUUUCUGUCCAAAUAUGCUGGGCUUGCCCGUACAAAGUACCCAAUGCAUUCCAUAAUAAACUCGAAAUUGGUGGAUGAUGUGUUAGUUUUUGACAAGCCUCUGAAAGGUCUCAUAACUUGAUAUUUGGGAGGUUUACGGUGGGUGUGGGGAUGUUUAGAAUUUUCCAGAAGAUGUUCUGUUUUUGGUUACCCUCAUUUUUGGGUCAAAUGGCGUAAUAGUAUCAGUUCUUUUGCAGACAUGUUGGUACUCUAAAUCACGUAACUUUGACUGAUGUAUGUCCUGUUAUGCUGCUUAUGAAAAGAUGGGUUGCACUUAUUCUUUUAUGGUGCUUAUUCUCUUCAUUUCUCGUUGCGGGAUAUUUUUCUGUUUUUAACUUUAUUUUUAUAUGCAAGUAUGUAACUAUUUUUAUUGAGAACACAGUAGUGUUCUUGUUUUCUAUUUUAGCAAUUAGUUGGUUUGUGUAUUCAUGGCAUAUCUUAUGUAGUUAUGUGCAGUUUUUCCCCUCUCAGAGGUAAACCAUGUGAUGUACUGUGGUAUAAAUAAUGAACCAAGCAUUGAGGAAGUUAAUUAGUUCAUCUUCCCGAUAUUCAGGUAUUCGUAUUUCACUUCCUCUUCUCAGCUAAUUUAUGGUGAAUUCCAGUCUCUAAUAUUCCCUGUCAACAACAUUCCUCUGGCGACUCUUUUGCAUUCAACAAUAAAGAAGUCUAGAAUCAGUUUAUGCAUUGGUUUUCUCAAAUCAGGUAUUAUUGGCUACAUUAGGUAGACUGAAUUUCCUUCUAAGUUCUCACUAGGUAGAGUGAUCAAAUAUUCAAAUGAUCAAAUCAGUGCGGGACAUGACAGAACUGACGACAAGGAAGGAGUUCGAUGGCAUUAAGAAAUCCCUUCACACAAUUGAGACAAUGUUGAAAGCAUUAGCAUUUAGCAAAAUUCUCGCCUUUGGCUGUAGGUAGAUCAUGGUUCUAAGCACCUCCAGGUGUUGGGUCUUAACUCUUAAUUGGAUCCGAUUCACUUUUUUAAAAAAUAAUUUAAGACUCCUUUGCGUUUUCCAAAAAAACAACCUUAAACCAAUCUUUCUUCAAUCUGUGCUCCCCCUCCGAAGAUUGGUUUUGAGGUGGAAAAAAACCAAAAUAUACGAAAUAUAAAUAUCUAAACUAAGUAUUUAAAAAUGAAUUAAAUAUUUAAAGAUAUCUGAGUGUAUUAAGUAUAUCAAUAUAUGAAAUUUAUAUAUUUUUAUAUUUUUAAAUUAUUUAUGAAAAUACCCCUGGUACCCAAGGCACGUCUGAUGCUCGCUUGAGCGGCAAUGCGCCAGGUCCUGGCAUACAGAGCAAUUGUGCAUUUAAGAUAUUGAGGUAGAUUCAUCUAAACAGAGGCAUUUCGGAUAAAGAUCGGCAAUGGAUUGGACAUAAUGUGGUUUCGUCAUCCGAUGAAGAGCAGAGUUUAAUUUCACUUGACAUCAUUGUAUUAAUGAUAUUUUUCAUCGUAAUGGGAUAUUUGAUGAUAAUUUUGGUCAGCACUCAGCACAACAAACGAUUUGAUGAUUACCAUGAAAAUCACAAUGGAAGUUUUAAGGAUUAUCACCAAGGUGGGUGUAAGAAGAAGUCAAUAAAUUAUGUCUGAAUAUGGUGACUAGUCGAUUACCUUCUAAGAAUGGACCUACUAACGUUUAAUUGACAAUUACAUAUUGAGGUGUUUCUUGAUUAGAUCACGAAUGUGGAGCACAUAGUAUCAAGCUUGUAGCACUUCGAUUCACGGACGGAGUAUCAAUUUAUUUGGAGAAGAUUGCAAAGUGUCACAGUUGCCUACAAAAGAGGCCAAUUUGCACUUUGUCAACAUGAAACUACUGUUAUGAUCAAGAUUUCUUCCAUUGGAUUACUAGAGGGUUGUGUUAUUUCCGAUUUUGCAAGAUCAAGUCGAACAACAUAAGUAAGAUGGAUUAAAGAUCAAGUUGAACAAGCAUCAGUUUGUGUUCCCUCCCGGAGGGCCGGAACUCAUAGUUCCAAAACAUAAUGGAACAUGAAGAAGCGUCAUGGCCUGAUGUUUUGAAAUCGUUAUGCCAUCCAGUCUAAAAAAUGCAUCGGAUAUCUUCGUGCAGUCAUGAUAGAUGGAGGCAAUGAAAAUUUUGAAAUCGUUCCUGAUUGCACACGAAAACCAUAACGUCAAUGCCAUAACUGCUCGUUUGUUAAAUAAUUAGAUACUGUCAGGGUCUGCUUUUUCCUCAUGCCAUUUCUAUUAUAUCGUGUUAGUGUUAUUCUUUUGUUUAUGGGUAGUUUCGUUUUUUUUUCUCAGGGACCACCUGUGAAAUAUAAAUGAUGAAACUUGUAUAUCUGUAGAGUUUGUGUUAGCUGUUCAGUAUUUACUUGUUUAAUGUUCAUUUAUAUUGCUGGACAUGUUCUACCAUCAAUUUUUUCCCAUUGAUGUAUAUUUGCGAAACUCUCCUGAUUUCCUUUGCAUUUUCUAUAUUAUUGUAGAAAUAACAUAAUGUAUUCUUCCCCAUCUGGAUAUUUGCAUUUUGCGUGCAGGUUUCCUCUGAUCAUGACAUGAAAUACCCAGAACAAUGAUCAAUAAGAUUGCUCUCAAUUUUGAGGUGGAAUUUAUCUUUAUCCAUUGAUUUGUAGGCGUAUUCCGAUCGAUUUUCUUUGAUCAAUUUGUGAAAUAUGGAGGAGGUACGUAGAAGGUUGAGAUUAAUACACCAAUUUUCUGAUUCUUAGUCUGUUUUAUUUACCAAUUCCUAUAGUGCUUCCAAGCUCAAUUUUAAUAGUUUGCUUGAUUCUUUUAUAUUCCCAGUCUCUCAGAUAUAUUUGCUAUUCUUAAAUACAGUUAAUAAAUCUUAUUAUUAAGAAUCUUGAUGCCUAAAUAUUGCAAACUGGGAUCAAGUAAGUGGUACCUUUGAUGAGUUUGUGCUAAAUAUUAUGAUUUAAAAAGGCAAUUGGGGUCAAGUUCUAAACAGUAGAUGAG
RNAcentral lists this long non-coding RNA (4906 nucleotides) under Zostera marina. RNAcentral describes it as "long non-coding RNA (ZMAR_LNC001817)". Lineage: Eukaryota; Viridiplantae; Streptophyta; Magnoliopsida; Alismatales; Zosteraceae. The record is from RNAcentral.